GAUGAACGCUAGCGGCAGGCCUUACACAUGCAAGUCGAGGGGUAACGUGAGUGCUUGCACUUGACGACGACCGGCGCACGGGUGCGGAACGCGUAUGGAACCUACCUUUAUCAGGGAGAUAGCCCAUGGAAACGUGGAUUAAUAUCCCAUAGUAUUAUUUUAUCGCCUGAUAGAAUAAUUAAAGAAUUUCGGAUAGAGAUGGCCAUGCGUAUCAUUAGCUAGUAGGCGAGGUAACGGCUCACCUAGGCGACGAUGAUUAGGGGUCCUGAGAGGGAGAUCCCCCACACUGGUACUGAGACACGGACCAGACUCCUACGGGAGGCAGCAGUGAGGAAUAUUGGGCAAUGGAGGCAACUCUGACCCAGCCAUGCCGCGUGCAGGAAGACGGCCCUACGGGUUGUAAACUGCUUUUAUACAGGAAGAACACCACCCACGUGUGGGUGACUGACGGUACUGUAAGAAUAAGGACCGGCUAACUCCGUG
This 483-nucleotide ribosomal RNA is filed under the name uncultured bacterium. Its description in RNAcentral is "bacterial SSU rRNA". It matches the Rfam family "Bacterial small subunit ribosomal RNA", at positions 28 to 507 of the family's 1533-position model. The record is from RNAcentral.